Molecule: ribosomal RNA, 1384 nt
Filed under: Arthrobacter pascens
Lineage: Bacteria; Bacillati; Actinomycetota; Actinomycetes; Micrococcales; Micrococcaceae
Description: 16S ribosomal RNA
Rfam family: Bacterial small subunit ribosomal RNA
Source: RNAcentral
GAUUAGUGGCGAACGGGUGAGUAACACGUGAGUAACCUGCCCUUAACUCUGGGAUAAGCCUGGGAAACUGGGUCUAAUACCGGAUAUGACUCCUCAUCGCAUGGUGGGGGGUGGAAAGCUUUUUGUGGUUUUGGAUGGACUCGCGGCCUAUCAGCUUGUUGGUGAGGUAAUGGCUCACCAAGGCGACGACGGGUAGCCGGCCUGAGAGGGUGACCGGCCACACUGGGACUGAGACACGGCCCAGACUCCUACGGGAGGCAGCAGUGGGGAAUAUUGCACAAUGGGCGCAAGCCUGAUGCAGCGACGCCGCGUGAGGGAUGACGGCCUUCGGGUUGUAAACCUCUUUCAGUAGGGAAGAAGCGAAAGUGACGGUACCUGCAGAAGAAGCGCCGGCUAACUACGUGCCAGCAGCCGCGGUAAUACGUAGGGCGCAAGCGUUAUCCGGAAUUAUUGGGCGUAAAGAGCUCGUAGGCGGUUUGUCGCGUCUGCCGUGAAAGUCCGGGGCUCAACUCCGGAUCUGCGGUGGGUACGGGCAGACUAGAGUGAUGUAGGGGAGACUGGAAUUCCUGGUGUAGCGGUGAAAUGCGCAGAUAUCAGGAGGAACACCGAUGGCGAAGGCAGGUCUCUGGGCAUUAACUGACGCUGCGCAGAUAUCAGGAGGAACACCGAUGGCGAAGGCAGGUCUCUGGGCAUUAACUGACGCUGAGGAGCGAAAGCAUGGGGAGCGAACAGGAUUAGAUACCCUGGUAGUCCAUGCCGUAAACGUUGGGCACUAGGUGUGGGGGACAUUCCACGUUUUCCGCGCCGUAGCUAACGCAUUAAGUGCCCCGCCUGGGGAGUACGGCCGCAAGGCUAAAACUCAAAGGAAUUGACGGGGGCCCGCACAAGCGGCGGAGCAUGCGGAUUAAUUCGAUGCAACGCGAAGAACCUUACCAAGGCUUGACAUGGACCGGACCGCCGCAGAAAUGUGGUUUCCCCUUUGGGGCCGGUUCACAGGUGGUGCAUGGUUGUCGUCAGCUCGUGUCGUGAGAUGUUGGGUUAAGUCCCGCAACGAGCGCAACCCUCGUUCUAUGUUGCCAGCGCGUGAUGGCGGGGACUCAUAGGAGACUGCCGGGGUCAACUCGGAGGAAGGUGGGGACGACGUCAAAUCAUCAUGCCCCUUAUGUCUUGGGCUUCACGCAUGCUACAAUGGCCGGUACAAAGGGUUGCGAUACUGUGAGGUGGAGCUAAUCCCAAAAAGCCGGUCUCAGUUCGGAUUGGGGUCUGCAACUCGACCCCAUGAAGUCGGAGUCGCUAGUAAUCGCAGAUCAGCAACGCUGCGGUGAAUACGUUCCCGGGCCUUGUACACACCGCCCGUCAAGUCACGAAAGUUGGUAACACCCGA